This 19-nucleotide unclassified non-coding RNA is filed under the name Mus musculus (house mouse). Its description in RNAcentral is "oocyte_clustered_small_RNA9478". Lineage: Eukaryota; Metazoa; Chordata; Mammalia; Rodentia; Muridae. The record is from RNAcentral.
UGACGCCAGGGUGGUUAAU